This 1235-nucleotide long non-coding RNA is filed under the name Meriones unguiculatus (Mongolian gerbil). RNAcentral's name for it is "lncRNA (ENSMUGG00000001356.1)". The record is from RNAcentral. Lineage: Eukaryota; Metazoa; Chordata; Mammalia; Rodentia; Muridae.
AUGAAGUCUUUCUACAGCCCCUGGCAGCCUAUCCCACCCUGCGUUGGGAUCACAAUUUCUGUCCUCUUGGAGUACAGCCAGAAUGUAAGGUGGCUCACCAUGGGUAGGGCUUGGCGUGUAGAUUUAGGGGCUCUGGUUGGGUUGUUCUUUGGCAGGCCAGGCAGGUUACUAUUCCGUUUCUGCUGCGCUCAGCCGUCCUGGAAGCCAGGAAGUCAACCAGCUGAAGAGGUAAGGAUUCAACCCCGUCCCUUCUGUGCCUGUAUACUAUGUGUUCCCACGAGGGCUGUGUACCCUAUAGAAAGCCAAGUUGGGGGUGAGUCGUACAAAAGCUUCUGAAGGAGCUGGGGGAGAAAAAGAUUCCAAGGAGGGUUUGAGGGCAGAGAGGCCUUGAGCUGCCCCAGAUCCCUGCCUCUCACCUUCCAGGAGUUCUUUGAAUGACAAGUACUACCUUCUGCACUCAUGGUCUUCUGUAGAGCUUUAUGUGAUGAAGGUUCCCUCUACAAACUGUUCUAUGCAGAAAUGGAAUGGAAACGUGCAUAAAGCAUGCCGUUCCAAAUGAGUGUACGAGAUGGGUGAGGGGUGGGAAUGGGAGCAAGUUACAAGUGUGCCACACGCCUCUGGGAGACGAUGUUGAGCCACAGCAUACUUCCCAAACUCUUUCCAAAGUCCAUGGAGUAUACCAAACCCUCUGAAAUAUGUGCUCAAGGGCCUAUAGGGACCUUGUCCACUCCAGAACCUACACACAAGAUACAAAGCCCUAGGCUUGCUCUUUGACCUUUUUGUGCUCUGAUCAUGGCCUCUCUGCUUUGCCUAUGUACCCUACUGAGCUUACGGCGCAAUAGCCUUGCACACAUGUACACAUGGCCUGCCUUCUGAAACUCAGAACCUCACCUGUAGUAUUCUCAAGCACCUCUCUUCUGGGUUGUGUAGAGGAGGGUUCCAACACUUUAGUGCCUUUUUUCUCAAGACCCCUUCUGGUCUCCCUACCACAGAAGCUGGAAGGCCAGGUGGCCUCUGAUGAGGACUUGAAGCCAUCUGACGUGGGAGACUCACAGCCAAGGUGAGAGGUGGCCCUAGGUAUUCUCAGGGACAGAGGCCACGUGGGGAGCACGGGCAUGGCAACAGGCAUCUUGUGCCGAUGGCCCUAGGGCCUGCUGACAGGCGGCUCCGGGCACUCUGAGAAUGCUAACAGGGCAUUAGACAAAGCUCGUACGAGGACCGGCAAGUGCAAAUGG